AAUUUAGUUAGAGGUUGCGUCUUUAAUAAGUCGUUUGUCAGAAGUCGAAUGGGGCAUAUGUUGCACAAAUUAAAGGUAAAGACGCCGAAAUAAAAGUUGAUCCAUCAACAACUUUUAUUGGGCUGGUUUUCGAAUAGGGACCAGACUGUCACAAUAGUGGUGUGCUAUCUAUGUU
Molecule: non-coding RNA, 175 nt
Organism: Staphylococcus hyicus
Lineage: Bacteria; Bacillati; Bacillota; Bacilli; Caryophanales; Staphylococcaceae
Source: Rfam